GACGAACGCUGGCGGCGUGCUUAACACAUGCAAGUCGAACGGAAAGGCCCUGCUUUUGUGGGGUGCUCGAGUGGCGAACGGGUGAGUAACACGUGAGUAACCUGCCCUUGACUUUGGGAUAACUUCAGAAAACUGGGGCUAAUACCGGAUAGGAGCUCCUGCUGCAUGGUGGGGGUUGGAAAGUUUCGGCGGUUGGGGAUGGACUCGCGGCUUAUCAGCUUGUUGGUGGGGUAGUGGCUUACCAAGGCUUUGACGGGUAGCCGGCCUGAGAGGGUGACCGGCCACAUUGGGACUGAGAUGCGGCCCAGACUCCUCCGGGAGGCAGCAGUGGGGAAUAGUGCACAAUGGGCGGAAGCCUGAUGCAGCAACGCCGCGUGCGGGAUGACGGCCUUCGGGUUGUAAACCGCUUUCGCCUGUGACGAAGCGUGAGUGACGGUAAUGGGUAAAGAAGCACCGGCUAACUACGUG
This 468-nucleotide ribosomal RNA is filed under the name uncultured bacterium. RNAcentral's name for it is "partial 16S ribosomal RNA". It matches the Rfam family "Bacterial small subunit ribosomal RNA", at positions 28 to 507 of the family's 1533-position model. The record is from RNAcentral.